RNAcentral lists this ribosomal RNA (472 nucleotides) under uncultured organism. RNAcentral's name for it is "partial 16S ribosomal RNA". It matches the Rfam family "Bacterial small subunit ribosomal RNA", at positions 334 to 797 of the family's 1533-position model. The record is from RNAcentral.
CACUCCUGCGGGAGGCAGCAGUGGGGAAUUUUGGACAAUGGGCGAAAGCCUGAUCCAGCAAUGCCGCGUGCAGGAUGAAGGCCUUCGGGUUGUAAACUGCUUUUGUACGGAACGGAAAAGCUCCUUCUAAUACAGGGGGCCCAUGACGGUACCGUAAGAAUAAGCACCGGCUAACUACGUGCCAGCAGCCGCGGUAAUACGUAGGGUGCGAGCGUUAAUCGGAAUUACUGGGCGUAAAGCGUGCGCAGGCGGUUAUGUAAGACAGAUGUGAAAUCCCCGGGCUCAACCUGGGAACUGCAUUUGUGACUGCAUAGCUAGAGUACGGUAGAGGGGGAUGGAAUUCCGCGUGUAGCAGUGAAAUGCGUAGAUAUGCGGAGGAACACCGAUGGCGAAGGCAAUCCCCUGGACCUGUACUGACGCUCAUGCACGAAAGCGUGGGGAGCAAACAGGAUUAGAUACCCUAGUAGUCCCA